GUCUGCUACAAAAGGGACUCAGCAUGCAUUUCCAAGCAGUUCCAAAGAAAUGCAGGAGAAACCAGGGUUGCUUUAGCAGAAUGGCAUUGGGGCAUACAUCCGGAAGAACUACUUAACUGCUCUUGCAGGGAAGUACAGGACAAGGAGAGAAGUUCUAAAUAAGUUAUUAGGAGGAAGGAAAAGAUUUCAAAAGUACAGAGGAAUGAAACUGAAUGAAUGGAGAAUGCUGAAUUUAGGGAAAUCCCACUAUUAGAAAGGACAGAGCAUGGAGACAUUGUGAAGCAGUGAAGCUGUCAACCGCAGAAUAAUUAACAGACAGGAGAUAAAUGGUUUUGGAAACAAAAAAAAAAGAGGUCACUAAUAAGUAUAUUGUUAUUUCUAGUCAUCAACAGCCCUAAACAAAAUCAAUGGUUAGAUUGUCAGUCUCUCAGGGAAAACAUCCUGGAAGAAAGGCCUCUCUGUAGGUCUCCAAGGUUGCUUUGAAUUAUCCCUAAUACUCCACCACAAUUUGGACGAUGGAGACCUGAGUUCAUGCACAGAACAAGAUUCAAGAGGAAGACUCCAAUAGCUUAUGAGGAAAGUAGCAGAAGCACAUAUAAGAAGACGGCAUCGGAACAGAGGAUUCUCUUCCUAAAACCUUUUUCCAACCCUUCUGAUUCAAGUCUCCUAGCAGCAAAGUUAGCCAUGAAGUAGCUCCUUUCAUGAUUGCAAGGAUGUUUGCAUUUUGAGAUGGAAAGCUGAUAUGUAUACACUCUUAAAAAUCAAUCAUGCAACAUUUUACAGCCAGUGCAUUUUGGUAAAUUUCAGUUCUUGUACAUUACAGGCAUGAGCUCUUGAAGACGGCACAGGCAGAAUGACCUCGAGUUCAGACUGGCCACUUGCAGGCACAAACUGAGUCCUGCUCUGGCUGGUCAAAGGGAACCAUGGCUGUCUUCCUUGAAGGUUUGGUCCCCUUUAACCAGCUACAGCAGUCCUGAAAUCAGUCAUCUAUUUGCAACCUACUUGUAUUUUAAUCAGCCACCAAAGGAUUUCCUCUGUAAUCUGCUACUGGUUUCACUCUAUUUUUAUGAAGCUGUUGUCACCAAAAUGUGGGGCAGAUGAAUGACAAAUACGGCUGGAUAUGUUCUAGUUUCUGCCUCGAGAGGAAGUUUAUUUCUUAUGAUCCAAUAAGGAGAACGAACCAACAUUAUUCCUACAUAUACAUUCAUUCCUAAUAUAAUGUUGAUCAACUUUUAAAUGCAAGUCGGACAUAAAGUGAACAACAGAUCUA
Anolis sagrei ordinatus is the source of this 1270-nucleotide non-coding RNA. NCBI's taxonomy places the organism in Eukaryota, Metazoa, Chordata, Lepidosauria, Squamata, Anolidae. The record is from RefSeq and is a predicted model, not a curated record.